This 253-nucleotide ribosomal RNA is filed under the name uncultured bacterium. RNAcentral describes it as "partial 16S ribosomal RNA". It matches the Rfam family "Bacterial small subunit ribosomal RNA", at positions 524 to 776 of the family's 1533-position model. The record is from RNAcentral.
UACGUAGGGUGCAAGCGUUACUCGGAAUUACUGGGCGUAAAGCGUGCGCAGGCGGUGAUGUAAGACAGAUGUGAAAUCCCUGGGCUCAACCCAGGAACUGCGUCCAAGACUGGGAGGCUUGAAUCCGGGAGAGGGAUGCGGAAUUCCAGGUGUAGCGGUGAAAUGCGUAGAUAUCUGGAGGAACACCGGUGGCGAAGGCGGCAUCCUGGACCGGUAUUGACACUGAGGCGCGAAAGCCAGGGGAGCAAACGGG